CCUGGUGCAACAAAACAACUCCACCCGCCAGAGGACGUAUAGGCACAAGCCCAAAACUCAAAGGACUUGACAGUGUCUCAUACCAACCUAGAGGAGCCUGUCCUAUAAUCGAUGAUCCACGAUAAACCUUACCGACCUUAGUCACAUCAGCCUAUAUACCUCCGUCGCCAGCCCGCCUGCCUAACAGCACCAAAGCGAGCAAAACAGCUUACCACAAGCACGUCAGGUCAAGGGUGUAGCUAAUAGGCCGGACAGAGAUGGGCUACAUUUUCUAAUUUUGAAAACACCCGCUAAAAACAUGAAAACUUUAUAGCAAGGUGGAUUUAGCAGUAAGAGGGGCAAGAAAUAAGCCCCCCUGAAGCCCGCUCUGAGACGUGUACACACCGCCCGUCACCCCGUCA
This 401-nucleotide ribosomal RNA is filed under the name Uroplatus guentheri. RNAcentral describes it as "partial small subunit ribosomal RNA". It matches the Rfam family "Bacterial small subunit ribosomal RNA", at positions 846 to 1407 of the family's 1533-position model. Lineage: Eukaryota; Metazoa; Chordata; Lepidosauria; Squamata; Gekkonidae. The record is from RNAcentral.